CAAAGAGAUUUAAGAGUUCCACCUGAUCCGGGUUGAUGAUUGUCCAGAAUGGAACAAUCUUCAGCUUCCUGCUCACGGGGACCUUGUGGGACUCGUCCAGACACAAUACUAGAAAAAAAAGGUUGAUCUUCAUGAAGAUCUUCAAACAGUAAGUGUCAUGUAUUUAAAUUGUGGGUGGCCGCCGUGUCCCCACUCGCUCUUUUUCUUAGCGGCUGUGCCUGUAUCUAUUCCAUCCGCAUUGUCCAUUUGAAUUUGCUGAAAACUGUCCAUACUUCCAACAUGGCCACGUUCUUUCUCUUCUCCAGCUUUCCAUCUGCCAUAUAGCUGAGGGUUGUACAUGGAGCAUUAGCCACAGGUUGUUUUCUGCUUGUUGGUUUAAGUGACAUUUUUGGGUGUGUCUGAAUAUGUAAAAUGUUAAUCUGGUCCCUGUGUCUUUGGAACUGAGCUGAGCAAGUGAUUUGUAAGAAUGGGGUGCUGGACUGAUGCAGGGUUUUAAGGUUCUUUGGCAGUUUGUCAUUUGAAGGAUUGCUGAUCAGGGUGUUGAAUAGAGCUUGUGGGUUUGAGAUGUGUGGAUUGAAUGUGCUGUGAUGCUCUGAAAAUAGGAUUCUGCUCAGCAGUUAACAUUGAAGUAGAUAUGCCUGGUUUCUCUUACAGGGGCUGCUGUGCCAAAUCCUAAAAAUGCUUGAUAAAUGAAUGCACUAACAUUUCCUUUUCAGGUCUAUCUACAAAGGGUAAGUCCAUAUUUUUUUUUCCUAUGGGGGGCUACUGUGUUGGCCUUGUGUGGUUAGGUUUUGCAGAUUAGGGGAAUAAACAAAAAAAAAUUCACAUAAAAAAUUAUGUGAUGUCUUGCAUGGCCACUGUGCCAUUAACCCAGUGGUUCCCUAUUAUUUUCUGUCAUA
Molecule: long non-coding RNA, 899 nt
Organism: Solea senegalensis (Senegalese sole)
Lineage: Eukaryota; Metazoa; Chordata; Actinopteri; Pleuronectiformes; Soleidae
Exons: 3
Source: RefSeq, a predicted model, not a curated record